UCCUACGGGAGGCAGCAGUGGGGAAUAUUGGACAAUGGGGGGAACCCUGAUCCAGCCAUGCCGCGUGUGUGAAAAAGGCCUUAUGGUUGUAAAACACUUAAGCGAGGAGGAGGGUAUUGUGAUUAAUACUCGGGGAGUGACGUACACGC
Molecule: ribosomal RNA, 149 nt
Filed under: Acinetobacter septicus
Lineage: Bacteria; Pseudomonadati; Pseudomonadota; Gammaproteobacteria; Moraxellales; Moraxellaceae
Description: partial 16S ribosomal RNA
Rfam family: Bacterial small subunit ribosomal RNA
Source: RNAcentral